Molecule: unclassified non-coding RNA, 531 nt
Filed under: Hevea brasiliensis (rubber tree)
Lineage: Eukaryota; Viridiplantae; Streptophyta; Magnoliopsida; Malpighiales; Euphorbiaceae
Source: RNAcentral
GCUAACUAAAAGACUAUUUAUCUUUAUCAAGAACAUUGUGCCUCCAACUAGUUCUCGAGAAAAACAAGUACAAAGACUCUUCCUUUAUGGUAAUCAUGCCCACCCCUACACGUACACCGUAUUGCAAUAAAAUUAGUAUUGUAUUGCAAGGACGCUAGAAGAAGACGGUUCUGCUACCAUUUAUGCAUGGAAAAGAGGUAAAGACAGCCAUAUAAUCCUUAAAAGAUUUCCAAUAAAGUACCUUAUUGAGUAGUUUUACCCAAAUCUGAUCCUUCUUCGACCAGGUCGACUAGCAGAGCGGUACGUACCAACUGCAAAUCUCUACGUUAUGACAAAUGCACAAUGCAGCUUAACUGAACACUUAAAAGUACUAAUUUUCCUCUACUUUGAAUCUCCCAAACACACCAAGGGAUACACGAUUGAACAACCAACUUCUGGCAGCUGCCCUAACAACUCGAGAAGGACACGAUAUUCACAAUGAGGACAAGAACUCUUGCAUUGAAAUUCUACAAAUUGUAUUACUCAUUGAAG